RNAcentral lists this ribosomal RNA (277 nucleotides) under uncultured Lactobacillus sp. RNAcentral's name for it is "partial 16S ribosomal RNA". It matches the Rfam family "Bacterial small subunit ribosomal RNA", at positions 74 to 339 of the family's 1533-position model. Lineage: Bacteria; Bacillati; Bacillota; Bacilli; Lactobacillales; Lactobacillaceae. The record is from RNAcentral.
UGAUUUUACAUUUUGAGUGAGUGGCGAACUGGUGAGUAACACGUGGGAAACCUGCCCAGAAGCGGGGGAUAACACCUGGAAACAGAUGCUAAUACCGCAUAACAACUUGGACCGCAUGGUUCGAGCUUAGAAAGAUGGCCUCGGCUAUCUACUUUUGGAUCGGUCCCGCGGCGUAUUAGCUAGAUGGUGGGGUAACGGGCUCACCAUGGCAAUGAUACGUAGCCCGACCCUGAGAGGGUAAUCGGCCACAUUGGGACUGAGACACGGCCCAAACUCC